GUCGACACCCCUCUUGUCGCGAGAACGUUGCUUCCUCUCGUCUCUCUCUCUCUCUCUCUCUCUCUCUCUCUCUCUCUCUCUCUCUCUCUCUCUCUCUCGCUCUCUCGCUCUCUCGCUCUCUCGCUCUCUCGCUCUCUCUCGCUCGCUCUCUUUCUCUCUCUCUCUCUCUCUCUCUCUCUCUCUCUCUCUCUCUCUCUCGCUCUCUCUCUCUCUCGCUCGCUCGCUCUCUUUCUCUCUCCCCGCCCAGAGUUUUCUCUGUCGCGUAGGGUGUUGUGUUAAUUUUGGCGGUCUCAGAUGUCUCAGGUACCUGGGUCGGAGUCCUUUCUGUUGUUAUCUACUGGAUUCCCUUGAUUCAAGGCCUAGGGAGUUCCUGCCCUACACUGGCCCUCGCGAAAAUAUUUGUCUUUGAGGACGUCUGGGGCUGCGACCGCGGAAUAGAAAAAAAUAGUAGGUCAUCAAAAACAAGGAAAAUUGGAAAAUCUUUCAUGGCCAAGAGAAGCUUAAGGAGACAUGAUGAUUAAAUGUAUCCUGGAUGGGAUCCUGGAACACGAAAAGGACAUUAGGUAAAAACUAAGGAAAUCUGAAUAAAGUAUGGAUGUUAGUUAAUAAUAAUAUAUCAGUACUGAUUCAUUAAUUGUGACAAAUGCACCAUACUAAUGCAGGGGAAACGGUGUGGGAUAUAUGGGAACUCUACUAUUUUCACAAUUUUUCUGUAGAUCUAAAGCUGCUAAAAAAUUAUUUUUAAAAAGUCCAUUCCUGUCUUUUAGAAUAUGUUAUCAAGUAUAGACAUAAAUAUGAUGUAACUGUAAAGGCAGUGUAAUCAUAGAUAAAUAAUGUUUCUUGUGGUUUUUUUGUUUGUUUU
This 862-nucleotide long non-coding RNA is filed under the name Homo sapiens (human). RNAcentral describes it as "non-protein coding lnc-FRMD5-3:2". Lineage: Eukaryota; Metazoa; Chordata; Mammalia; Primates; Hominidae. The record is from RNAcentral.